GAAGUUUUCCGCCCUGGCCUAAUACAUGCAAGUCGAGCGGACAGGAAGGGAGCUUGCUCCCGGAUGUUAGCGGCGGACGGGUGAGUAACACGUGGGUAACCUGCCUGUAAGACUGGGAUAACUCCGGGAAACCGGAGCUAAUACCGGAUAGUUCCUUGAACCGCAUGGUUCAAGGAUGAAAGACGGUUUCGGCUGUCACUUACAGAUGGACCCGCGGCGCAUUAGCUAGUUGGUGGGGUAAUGGCUCACCAAGGCGACGAUGCGUAGCCGACCUGAGAGGGUGAUCGGCCACACUGGGACUGAGACACGGCCCAGACUCCUACGGGAGGCAGCAGUAGGGAAUCUUCCGCAAUGGACGAAAGUCUGACGGAGCAACGCCGCGUGAGUGAUGAAGGUUUUCGGAUCGUAAAGCUCUGUUGUUAGGGAAGAACAAGUGCGAGAGUAACUGCUCGCACCUUGACGGUACCUAACCAGAAAGCCACGGCUAACUACGUGCCAGCAGCCGCGGUAAUACGUAGGUGGCAAGCGUUGUCCGGAAUUAUUGGGCGUAAAGGGCUCGCAGGCGGUUUCUUAAGUCUGAUGUGAAAGCCCCCGGCUCAACCGGGGAGGGUCAUUGGAAACUGGGAAACUUGAGUGCAGAAGAGGAGAGUGGAAUUCCACGUGUAGCGGUGAAAUGCGUAGAGAUGUGGAGGAACACCAGUGGCGAAGGCGACUCUCUGGUCUGUAACUGACGCUGAGGAGCGAAAGCGUGGGGAGCGAACAGGAUUAGAUACCCUGGUAGUCCACGCCGUAAACGAUGAGUGCUAAGUGUUAGGGGGUUUCCGCCCCUUAGUGCUGCAGCUAACGCAUUAAGCACUCCGCCUGGGGAGUACGGGUCGCAAGACUGAAACUCAAAGGAAUUGACGGGGGCCCGCACAAGCGGUGGAGCAUUGUGGUUUAAUUCGAAAGCACGCGAAGAACCUUACCAGUCUUGACAUCCUCUGACAACCCUAGAGAUAGGGCUUUCCCUUUCGGGGACAGAGUGACAAGGUGGUGCAUGGGUUGUCGUCAGCUUCGUGUCGUGAGAUGGUGGUUAGUCCCGCCAACGAGCGCACCCUUGAUUCUUAGUGCAAGCAUCAAUGGCACUUCAAAGUACUGCUGUGACAUCGAAGGAGGGUGUGGAUUGAC
This 1167-nucleotide ribosomal RNA is filed under the name Bacillus pumilus. Its description in RNAcentral is "bacterial SSU rRNA". It matches the Rfam family "Bacterial small subunit ribosomal RNA", at positions 31 to 1183 of the family's 1533-position model. The record is from RNAcentral. Lineage: Bacteria; Bacillati; Bacillota; Bacilli; Caryophanales; Bacillaceae.